Molecule: ribosomal RNA, 484 nt
Filed under: uncultured bacterium
Lineage: Bacteria
Description: partial 16S ribosomal RNA
Rfam family: Bacterial small subunit ribosomal RNA
Source: RNAcentral
AUUGAACGCUGGCGGCAUGCUUUACACAUGCAAGUCGAACGGCAGCGCGGGCUUCGGCCUGGCGGCUAGUGGCGAACGGGUGAGUAAUGCAUCGGAACGUGCCCAGUAGUGGGUGAUAGCCCGGCGAAAGCCGGAUUAAUACCGCAUACGACCUGAGGGUGAAAGCGGGGGACCGAAAGGCCUCGCGCUCUUGGAGCGGCCGAUGUCGGAUUAGCUAGUUGGUUGGGUAAGGGCUUACCUAGCCGACGAUCCGUAGCUGGUCUGAGAGGACGACCAGCCACACUGGGACUGAGACACGGCCCAGACUCCUACGGGAGGCAGCAGUGGGGAAUUUUGGACAAUGGGGGCAACCCUGAUCCAGCCAUGCCGCGUGCGGGAAGAAGGCCUUCGGGUUGUAAACCGCUUUUGUUCGGGAAGAAAUCCUCUGGGCUAAUACCCCGGGGGGAUGACGGUACCGGAAGAAUAAGCACCGGCUAACUACGUG